ACCUACAUUUGUAGCCAGGUCAACAUCUAUGAUAGUCCAUAAAGAAGAAUCAGCUAUGGUAGUCCCUGCUAACACAUGUGAUGAAGAAGUGGGAAGGUCUCAGCAAGCCAUGGAAGGCAAUAGUGAAGUAUCCAUGUCUAAAUGGACGGUGAUAGUGCGGAAGAACAUGCAGAAAGCUGGAAUGUAUGCCAAGCAUUCAUCGAAUACACCAUUACUCAGAGGUUUCAGGAAUUAUUUGUCCAAGACAUUAGGAGUUUGCAACAGUAAACAGGAGGUAGAAAAUGUUGCACGGUAUUUACAUUUCAUGGACCCACAAAAAGCAUCAAUGGAUUUUGUGAAAGACAUAGAAAAAACUAAUCUCUACUUCACAAAGCUGAGGGAACUUGGUCUCUGUAGCCAAACAGUAUUUAAUUAUUUAAAAAAUAUAA
Pseudophryne corroboree (corroboree frog) is the source of this 428-nucleotide long non-coding RNA. RefSeq lists it as uncharacterized. NCBI's taxonomy places the organism in Eukaryota, Metazoa, Chordata, Amphibia, Anura, Myobatrachidae. The record is from RefSeq and is a predicted model, not a curated record. The transcript has 3 exons.